UACGAACGCUGGCGGCGUGCCUAACACAUGCAAGUCGAACGAAGCUUGAUCACGGAUUCUUCGGAUGAAGUGUGAUAUGACUUAGUGGCGGACGGGUGAGUAACGCGUGAGCAACCUGCCUUUCAGAGGGGGAUAACAGUUGGAAACGACUGCUAAUACCGCAUAAUGCAACGGAAUCGCAUGACUCUGUUGCCAAAGAUUUAUCGCUCUGAGAUGGCCUCGCGUCUGAUUAGCUAGUUGGCGGGGUAACGGCCCACCAAGGCGACGAUCAGUAGCCGGACUGAGAGGUUGGCCGGCCACAUUGGGACUGAGACACGGCCCAG
This 323-nucleotide ribosomal RNA is filed under the name uncultured bacterium. Its description in RNAcentral is "bacterial SSU rRNA". It matches the Rfam family "Bacterial small subunit ribosomal RNA", at positions 29 to 334 of the family's 1533-position model. The record is from RNAcentral.